This 700-nucleotide ribosomal RNA is filed under the name uncultured bacterium. Its description in RNAcentral is "bacterial SSU rRNA". It matches the Rfam family "Bacterial small subunit ribosomal RNA", at positions 8 to 752 of the family's 1533-position model. The record is from RNAcentral.
AGAGUUUGAUCAUGGCUCAGAACGAACGCUGGCGGCAGGCCUAACACAUGCAAGUCGAACGGGCGUAGCAAUACGUCAGUGGCAGACGGGUGAGUAACGCGUGGGAACGUACCCUUCGGUUCGGAAUAACCCGGGGAAACUCGGGCUAAUACCGGAUACGUCCGCAAGGAGAAAGAUUUAUCGCCGAUGGAUCGGCCCGCGUCGGAUUAGCUAGUUGGUGGGGUAAUGGCCUACCAAGGCGACGAUCCGUAGCUGGUCUGAGAGGAUGAUCAGCCACACUGGGACUGAGACACGGCCCAGACUCCUACGGGAGGCAGCAGUGGGGAAUAUUGGACAAUGGGCGAAAGCCUGAUCCAGCCAUGCCGCGUGAGUGAAGAAGGCCUUAGGGUUGUAAAGCUCUUUCAGCGGGGAAGAUAAUGACGGUACCCGCAGAAGAAGCCCCGGCUAACUUCGUGCCAGCAGCCGCGGUAAUACGAAGGGGGCUAGCGUUGUUCGGAAUUACUGGGCGUAAAGCGCGCGUAGGCGGAUCGCUAAGUCAGGGGUGAAAUCCCAGGGCUCAACCCUGGAACUGCCUUUGAUACUGACGAUCUGGAGAUCGGGAGAGGUUGGUGGAAUUCCGAGUGUAGAGGUGAAAUUCGUAGAUAUUCGGAGGAACACCAGAAGCGAAGGCGGCCAACUGGCCCGAUACUGACGCUGAGGC